RNAcentral lists this small RNA (538 nucleotides) under Pan troglodytes (chimpanzee). RNAcentral's name for it is "processed transcript". Lineage: Eukaryota; Metazoa; Chordata; Mammalia; Primates; Hominidae. The record is from RNAcentral.
CUGUGUGGCCCUGUGACCCGCAGAUAUUGGGAGAUACACGGCUAAGACUCCAGGACCCCCUGGAAGCCUAGAAAUGGUGAGAGUGCCGAGUCUGACAUCCCGAGAGAGGGGGAGGGGCUGGUCGGAACCGUGGGAAGUGGCCGUGGCGGACUUAGGUCUCCCGGCAGUCAGCUCCACAAUCUGCGCCCGGAAUUCUCCUUGCCCAGCUCGGCUUCAGUCCCCUUCAGCCAUAAGAUGGCGACUGUGCUGACAGCCGGGCCCCGGGCGUCCUGUCUUCCUUCCGCAGUGACUGUGCCUGACGUGUAGCCCUGUCUGGGGAGCUCUGCACGCGCAAUUCCGCAGUCUCUCCCAGAUUGUGCAAGAACCAUGGGAGGGGCGUCAGGCAUAGAGAUUUUAUGAGAAUGUUUUGGCAUCAAGGUUUUUCUUGGAAUUUUUGUGGGGUGAUGUGUCCUCAGCCACCCUUUAGUUUUUUUCCUGGUCCUGGGUUCCAGUACUGUCUGUGAAUAAACCAAGAUAUCAGUCAUGGCUAUGUCUGCAA